AACGAACGCUGGCGGCGUGGAUUAGGCAUGCAAGUCGAACGCGAAAGAGGGGGCAACCCCUCAAGUAGAGUGGCGAACGGGUGAGUAACGCGUGAAGAACCUGCCUUCAACAGGGGAGUAACACUCCCAACGGGGUGGCUAAUACCGCAUGAGACCACGGAUCCGCAUGGAUCUGAGGUCAAGGGUGGCCUCUGCUUGCAAGCUACCGGUUGAAGAUGGCUUCGCGCCCAUUAGCUAGUUGGCGGUGUAAAAGAACCACCAAGGCGACGAUGGGUUAGCUGGUCUGAGAGGAUGGUCAGCCACACUGGGACGUGAGAUACGGCCCAGACUCCUACGGGAGGCNGCAGUGAGGAAUCUUGCGGCAAUGGGCGAAAAGCCUGACGCAGCAACGCCGCGUGGAGGAUGAAGGUCUUCGGAUCGUAAACU
RNAcentral lists this ribosomal RNA (426 nucleotides) under uncultured bacterium. RNAcentral describes it as "bacterial SSU rRNA". It matches the Rfam family "Bacterial small subunit ribosomal RNA", at positions 29 to 431 of the family's 1533-position model. The record is from RNAcentral.